UACAUUGUAUGUCCGAUGCUUCAUAAUGUGAUAAAGAUCAACAGCUCUCUUUAGAUAAUCUUUACUCUCAAACAUCAGAUCUUUUUUAAAUUCAGUCAUCGAGUCCCAAAACUGAUAGUCAGAGUUCAAUCUUCGACCAGCACUAACAUAACCACCAUCAUCUAAAUUUAUAUCGUUAAAAAAUUAUGGGGGUUCAUGCAAACGGGGUUGAGGUUCUCCCACAU
RNAcentral lists this long non-coding RNA (224 nucleotides) under Elaeis guineensis (African oil palm). Its description in RNAcentral is "long non-coding RNA (EGUI_LNC060230)". The record is from RNAcentral. Lineage: Eukaryota; Viridiplantae; Streptophyta; Magnoliopsida; Arecales; Arecaceae.